CUACGGGCGGCAGCAGGCGCGAAAACUUUACAAUGCAGGAAACUGUGAUAAGGGAACCCCGAGUGCCCGUACACGCGGGCUGUCUGGGUGUUUAAAAUGCACCCAAAGAAAGGGCCGGGCAAGACCGGUGCCAGCCGCCGCGGUAAUACCGGCGGCUCGAGUGGUGACCACUUUUAUUGGGCUUAAAGCGUUCGUAGCUGGACUGUUAAGUCCCUUGGGAAAUCCGCCGGCUCAACCGGCGGGCGUCUAAGGGAUACUGGCAGUCUAGGGACCGGGAGAGGUAAGAGGUACUCCGGGGGUAGGAGUGAAAUCCUGUAAUCCCCGGGGGACCACCUGUGGCGAAGGCGUCUUACCAGAACGGCUCCGACAGUGAGGAACGAAAGCUGGGGGAGCGAACCGGAUUAGAUACCCCCGUAGUC
This 419-nucleotide ribosomal RNA is filed under the name uncultured archaeon. RNAcentral describes it as "partial 16S ribosomal RNA". It matches the Rfam family "Archaeal small subunit ribosomal RNA", at positions 323 to 746 of the family's 1478-position model. The record is from RNAcentral.